Non-coding RNA from Mycena alexandri, 94 nucleotides. The record is from the annotation of a GenBank genome assembly. NCBI's taxonomy places the organism in Eukaryota, Fungi, Basidiomycota, Agaricomycetes, Agaricales, Mycenaceae.
GCUCAGAUGGUGUAGUGGUAGUAUCUUCUAGUUCAAUGGUCUGACCUAAUGUAUCUUUGAUGAAGCCGCGCCGGUUCGAAUCCGCUUCUGGGCG